CUACGGGUGGCUGCAGUGGGGAAUAUUGGACAAUGGGCGAAAGCCUGAUCCAGCCAUGCCGCGUGUGUGAAGAAGGCCUUCGGGUUGUAAAGCACUUUCAGUGGGGAAGAAAGCCUUGGGGCUAAUACCCUCGAGGAAGGACAUCACCCACAGAAGAAGCACCGGCUAACUCCGUGCCAGCAGCCGCGGUAAUACGGAGGGUGCGAGCGUUAAUCGGAAUUACUGGGCGUAAAGCGCGCGUAGGCGGUCUGAUAAGCCGGUUGUGAAAGCCCCGGGCUCAACCUGGGAACGGCAUCCGGAACUGUCAGGCUAGAGUGCAGGAGAGGAAGGUAGAAUUCCCGGUGUAGCGGUGAAAUGCGUAGAGAUCGGGAGGAAUACCAGUUGCGAAGGCGGCCUUCUGGACUGACACUGACGCUGAGGUGCGAAAGCGUGGGUAGCAAACAGGAUUAGAUACCCUGGUAGUC
RNAcentral lists this ribosomal RNA (464 nucleotides) under Vreelandella stevensii. RNAcentral's name for it is "partial 16S ribosomal RNA". It matches the Rfam family "Bacterial small subunit ribosomal RNA", at positions 339 to 795 of the family's 1533-position model. Lineage: Bacteria; Pseudomonadati; Pseudomonadota; Gammaproteobacteria; Oceanospirillales; Halomonadaceae. The record is from RNAcentral.